AAGCCAUCCUCCCGCUUCAGCCUCCCAGAGUAGCUGGAACCACAGGCAGGUACCAACAUGCCAAGCUAAUUUUUUGUAUUUUUAGUAGAGAUGGGGUCUCGCUAUGUUGCCCAGGC
This is a long non-coding RNA of Sapajus apella (tufted capuchin), 116 nucleotides long. RefSeq lists it as uncharacterized. NCBI's taxonomy places the organism in Eukaryota, Metazoa, Chordata, Mammalia, Primates, Cebidae. The transcript has 3 exons. The record is from RefSeq and is a predicted model, not a curated record.